GUGCUUGCUUCAGCAGUACAUCUACUAAAAUUGGAAUGAUACAAGAGAAGAUUAGCAUGGCCCCUGUGCAAGGAUGACACACAAAUUUGUGAAGUGUUCCAUAUUUUU
Peromyscus maniculatus bairdii (prairie deer mouse) is the source of this 108-nucleotide small nuclear RNA. The record is from Ensembl. Lineage: Eukaryota; Metazoa; Chordata; Mammalia; Rodentia; Cricetidae.